This 253-nucleotide ribosomal RNA is filed under the name uncultured bacterium. RNAcentral's name for it is "partial 16S ribosomal RNA". It matches the Rfam family "Bacterial small subunit ribosomal RNA", at positions 524 to 776 of the family's 1533-position model. The record is from RNAcentral.
UACGUAGGGUGCGAGCGUUAAUCGGAAUUACUGGGCGUAAAGUGUGCGCAGGCGGCCGAGCAAGUCGAGUGUGAAAGCCCCGAGCUUAACUUGGGAACUGCGCUCGAAACUACUUGGCUAGAGUGUGGCAGAGGGAGGUGGAAUUCCACGUGUAGCGGUGAAAUGCGUAGAGAUGUGGAGGAACACCGGUGGCGAAGGCGGCUACCUGGACCGGUACUGACGCUGAGGCGCGAAAGCCAGGGGAGCAAACAGG